GACGAACGCUGGCGGCGUGCUUAACACAUGCCAGUCGAACGGAAAGGCCCUGCUUUUGUGGGGUGCUCGAGUGGCGAACGGGUGAGUAACACGUGAGUAACCUGCCCUAGACUUUGGGAUAACUUCAGGAAACUGGGGCUAAUACCGGAUAGGAGCUCCUGCUGCAUGGUGGGGGUUGGAAAGUUUCGGCGGUUGGGGAUGGACUCGCGGCUUAUCAGCUUGUUGGUGGGGUAGUGGCUUACCAAGGCUUUGACGGGUAGCCGGCCUGAGAGGGUGACCGGCCACAUUGGGACUGAGAUACGGCCCAGACGCCUACGGGAGGCAGCAGUGGGGAAUAUUGCACAAUGGGCGGAAGCCUGAUGCAGCAACGCCGCGUGCGGGAUGACGGCCUUCGGGUUGUAAACCGCUUUCGCCUGUGACGAAGCGUGAGUGACGGUAAUGGGUAAAGAAGCACCGGCUAACUACGUG
RNAcentral lists this ribosomal RNA (468 nucleotides) under uncultured bacterium. Its description in RNAcentral is "partial 16S ribosomal RNA". It matches the Rfam family "Bacterial small subunit ribosomal RNA", at positions 28 to 507 of the family's 1533-position model. The record is from RNAcentral.